UGGGGAAUAUUGCACAAUGGAGGGAACUCUGCUGCAGCGACGCCGCGUGAACGAAGAAGGCCUUCGAGUCGUAAAGUUCUUUUCUAUGGGAAGAUAAUGACGGUACCAUAAGAAAAAGCCCCGGCUAACUACGUGCCAGCAGCCGCGGUAAUACGUAGGGGGCUAGCGUUGUCCUGAAUCACUGGGCGUAAAGGGUUCGCAGGCGGAAAUGCAAGUCAGGGGUAAAAGGCAGUAGCUUAACUACUGUAAGCAUUUGAAACUGCAUAUCUUGAUAAGAGUAGAGGUAAGUGGAAGUUUGAGUGUAGCGGUGUAAUGCGUAGAUAUUAAAAAGAAUACCGGUGGCGGAGGCAACUUAGUGGGCUCCUUCUGACGCUAAGGAACGAAAGCGUGGGUAGCGAACAGG
This 403-nucleotide ribosomal RNA is filed under the name Fusobacteriota bacterium. RNAcentral's name for it is "Fusobacteria bacterium partial 16S ribosomal RNA". It matches the Rfam family "Bacterial small subunit ribosomal RNA", at positions 355 to 776 of the family's 1533-position model. The record is from RNAcentral. Lineage: Bacteria; Fusobacteriati; Fusobacteriota.